CAGGCAGAGAGAGGCAGAGGAGGAGAAGGUGUUCACCACCGCUUAGGUGAAGGACUCACUAUGGGUGGUUCAUUUUAACCCGGCUGUCUGUUCAGGCUGCAGGGGGGUGGACCAUGUGCACCACCUUCAUGGUUCUCACCUCUCUGGCUGUGGUUCUGCGUCAUCAUUUCAUCAGCCGCGCUAAAACAUUUCCAAAAGACUUGGGGAACAAAGAAGCGCCCUGUGUGCAGAACACAGCCUCAGAAUAAUGAAGCCACCAGACAUCCAACUCAGACAUUUAGGCAGCGUUGAACUGCAGUUAAUGAUCCGAGUGAAUAGAAACAUAUUCAACAGAUGUGGGUCCAUGAUGUGGAAGCCGUCCUCAGGUCCAUGUCCAGACGACUGAAUGCUUCCCUGGAGAAAUAUCCUCAUAAUAAACCUGGGAUCAGCUCACAGUUCCCACUUCCAUCAUCUGUGAUCCAAUGCAGGUCUCUCUCCAGUCAACCAGCUGAUCCAUGGAAGACACUUUAGAUGUUUGCAAACUAUUUUAUAGCUAAGUCAAUAUAACUCACACAUGGGACAGAUGUACUUGAAGCUGAGUUUUCAUCCAAAAUUCAACAUCUACAGUACUGACAUGCACCAAAACUUGGCUGUAUAUCACAAGCAGUUUUCUUUAAACAAAGCAAACACAAAUUGUUUGACAUUCACUAGAAGCACAUAAUCACACUCUGGUGUUUUAUUACAUAAAUAAUGAAAACUGGCUGUUUCCCAAGUUGAGUUUCUUUGAAAUGGCUGCAGACUUUGUCAAUACUCUGUCACACCUGAAAUAAAACAGUACUUUGUGUGAUGAA
Molecule: long non-coding RNA, 830 nt
Organism: Sphaeramia orbicularis (orbiculate cardinalfish)
Lineage: Eukaryota; Metazoa; Chordata; Actinopteri; Kurtiformes; Apogonidae
Exons: 5
Source: RefSeq, a predicted model, not a curated record